RNAcentral lists this ribosomal RNA (480 nucleotides) under uncultured bacterium. RNAcentral describes it as "bacterial SSU rRNA". It matches the Rfam family "Bacterial small subunit ribosomal RNA", at positions 1 to 526 of the family's 1533-position model. The record is from RNAcentral.
ACUAGCAGUAAGAGUUUGAUCAUGGCUCAGAGCGAACGCUGGCGGCAGGCCUAAUACAUGCAAGUCGAACGCACCUUCGGGUGAGUGGCGGACGGGUGAGUAACGCGUGGGAACGUGCCCUUUGGUUCGGAACAACACAGGGAAACUUGUGCUAAUACCGAAUGUGCCCUUCGGGGGAAAGAUUUAUCGCCAUUGGAGCGGCCCGCGUUGGAUUAGCUAGUUGGUGGGGUAAAGGCCCACCAAGGCGACGAUCCAUAGCUGGUCUGAGAGGAUGAUCAGCCACACUGGGACUGAGACACGGCCCAGACUCCUACGGGAGGCAGCAGUAGGGAAUCUUGCGCAAUGGGCGAAAGCCUGACGCAGCCAUGCCGCGUGAAUGAUGAAGGUCUUAGGAUUGUAAAAUUCUUUCACCAGGGAAGAUAAUGACGGUACCCGGAGAAGAAGCCCCGGCUAACUUCGUGCCAGCAGCCGCGGUAAUAC